GAUGAACGCUGGCGGCGUGCCUAAUACAUGCGAGUCGAGCGAACAGAUGAGGAGCUUGCUCCUCUGACGUUAGCGGCGGACGGGUGAGUAACACGUGGAUAACCUACCUAUAAGACUGGGAUAACUUCGGGAAACCGGAGCUAAUACCGGAUAAUAUAUUGAACCGCAUGGUUCAAUAGUGAAAGACGGUUUUGCUGUCACUUAUAGAUGGAUCCGCGCCGCAUUAGCUAGUUGGUAAGGUAACGGCUUACCAAGGCAACGAUGCGUAGCCGACCUGAGAGGGUGAUCGGCCACACUGGAACUGAGACACGGUCCAGACUCCUACGGGAGGCAGCAGUAGGGAAUCUUCCGCAAUGGGCGAAAGCCUGACGGAGCAACGCCGCGUGAGUGAUGAAGGUCUUCGGAUCGUAAAACUCUGUUAUUAGGGAAGAACAAAUAUGUAAGUAACUAUGCACGUCUUGACGGUACCUAAUCAGAAAGCCACGGCUAACUACGUG
Molecule: ribosomal RNA, 497 nt
Filed under: uncultured bacterium
Lineage: Bacteria
Description: partial 16S ribosomal RNA
Rfam family: Bacterial small subunit ribosomal RNA
Source: RNAcentral